This 735-nucleotide ribosomal RNA is filed under the name Ilyonectria destructans. RNAcentral describes it as "eukaryotic LSU rRNA". The stretch from base 179 to 332 matches the Rfam family "5.8S ribosomal RNA". The record is from RNAcentral. Lineage: Eukaryota; Fungi; Ascomycota; Sordariomycetes; Hypocreales; Nectriaceae.
GUCGUAAACAGGUUUUCGUUGGUGAACCAGCGGAGGGAUCAUUACCGAGUUUACAACUCCCAAACCCCUGUGAACAUACCAUUUGUUGCCUCGGCGGUGCCUGCUUCGGCAGCCCGCCAGAGGACCCAAACCCUUGAUUUUAUACAGUAUCUUCUGAGUAAAUGAUUAAAUAAAUCAAAACUUUCAACAACGGAUCUCUUGGUUCUGGCAUCGAUGAAGAACGCAGCGAAAUGCGAUAAGUAAUGUGAAUUGCAGAAUUCAGUGAAUCAUCGAAUCUUUGAACGCACAUUGCGCCCGCCAGUAUUCUGGCGGGCAUGCCUGUUCGAGCGUCAUUUCAACCCUCAAGCCCCCGGGCUUGGUGUUGGAGAUCGGCGUGCCCCCCGGGGCGCGCCGGCUCCCAAAUAUAGUGGCGGUCUCGCUGUAGCUUCCUCUGCGUAGUAGCACACCUCGCACUGGAAAACAGCGUGGCCACGCCGUUAAACCCCCCACUUCUGAAAGGUUGACCUCGGAUCAGGUAGAAUACCCGCUGAACUUAAGCAUAUCAAUAACGACGGAAGUAUAUUUGGGAGCCGGCGCGCCCCGGGGCCGCCGAUCUUCAAACAAGCCCGGGGCCUGAGGUUGAAUGACGCUCGACAGGCAUGCCGCAGAUACUGCGGGCGCCAUGUGCGGUUCAAAGAUUCGAUGAUUCACUGAAAUUCUGCAAUUUCACAUUUACUUAUUCGCAUUUCCGCCUGC